Molecule: ribosomal RNA, 253 nt
Filed under: uncultured bacterium
Lineage: Bacteria
Description: partial 16S ribosomal RNA
Rfam family: Bacterial small subunit ribosomal RNA
Source: RNAcentral
AACGUAGGUACCGAGCGUUAUCCGGAUUUACUGGGCGUAAAGCGUGUUCAGGCGGCCUGGCAAGUCGGGCAUGAAAUCUCUCGGCUCAACCGGGAGAGGCUGUCCGAUACUGCUGGGCUUGAGGACGGUAGAGGGUGGUGGAAUUCCGCGUGUAGUGGUGAAAUGCGUAGAUAUGCGGAGGAACACCAGUGGCGAAGGCGGCUACCUGGACCAGCACUGACACUGAGGCACGAAAGCGUGGGGAGCAAACAGG